Molecule: long non-coding RNA, 272 nt
Organism: Liolophura sinensis
Lineage: Eukaryota; Metazoa; Mollusca; Polyplacophora; Chitonida; Chitonidae
Exons: 4
Source: RefSeq, a predicted model, not a curated record
CAAACAUACAGUACAUAUUUAAAACAACUCUUUCUCCUCUUUUCCAGGUACUGAGUCACCGCCAAACGAACAUGAAACCACAGCUUCUGUUGGCCAUACGGGGGCCUAUGAAGAUGUUGAUCUGAUACCCAACUCCUCACCCUCAGGCCCACCGGUCUACGCAGAGGUAAACAAGCCAGAGACGGCCCCCAAACCGACAAAAGUUUCAGGCCAACCAGCACCGGUCUACGCAGAAGUAAACAAAGUACAGAAGACCAACCAAAUUGCCAAAG